RNAcentral lists this ribosomal RNA (468 nucleotides) under uncultured bacterium. RNAcentral's name for it is "partial 16S ribosomal RNA". It matches the Rfam family "Bacterial small subunit ribosomal RNA", at positions 28 to 507 of the family's 1533-position model. The record is from RNAcentral.
GACGAACGCUGGCGGCGUGCUUAACACAUGCAAGUCGAACGGAAAGGCCCUGCUUUUGUGGGGUGCUCGAGUGGCGAACGGGUGAGUAACACGUGAGUAACCUGCCCUUGACUUUGGGAUAACUUCAGGAAACUGGGGCUAAUACCGGAUAGGAGCUCCUGCUGCAUGGUGGGGGUUGGAAAGUUUCGGCGGUUGGGGAUGGACUCGCGGCUUAUCAGUUUGUUGGUGGGGUAGUGGCUUACCAAGGCUUUGACGGGUAGCCGGCCUGAGAGGGUGACCGGCCACAUUGGGACUGAGAUACGGCCCAGACUCCUACGGGAGGCAGCAGUGGGGAAUAGUGCACAAUGGGCGGAAGCCUGAUGCAGCAACGCCGCGUGCGGGAUGACGGCCUUCGGGUUGUAAACCGCUUUCGCCUGUGACGAAGCGUGAGUGACGGUAAUGGGUAAAGAAGCACCGGCUAACUACGUG